GAUGAACGCUGGCGGCGUGCCUAAUACAUGCAAGUCGAGCGAACGGACGAGAAGCUUGCUUCUCUGAUGUUAGCGGCGGACGGGUGAGUAACACGUGGAUAACCUACCUAUAAGACUGGGAUAAUUUCGGGAAACCGGAGCUAAUACCGGAUAAUAUUUUGAACCGCAUGGUUCAAAAGUGAAAGACGGUCUUGCUGUCACUUAUAGAUGGAUCCGCGCUGCAUUAGCUAGUUGGUAAGGUAACGGCUUACCAAGGCAACGAUGCAUAGCCGACCUGAGAGGGUGAUCGGCCACACUAGAACUGAGACACGGUCCAGACUACUACGGGAGGCAGCAGUAGGGAAUGUUCCGCAAAGGGCGAAAGCCUGACGGAGCAGCGCCGCGUGAGUGAUGAAGGUCUUCGGAUCGUAAAACUCUGUUAUUAGGGAAGAACAUAUGUGUAAGUAACUGUGCACAUCUUGACGGUACCUAAUCAGAAAGCCACGGCUAACUACGUG
This 497-nucleotide ribosomal RNA is filed under the name uncultured bacterium. RNAcentral's name for it is "partial 16S ribosomal RNA". It matches the Rfam family "Bacterial small subunit ribosomal RNA", at positions 28 to 507 of the family's 1533-position model. The record is from RNAcentral.